UAAGUCUGAGACCUGAUGCCGAGCCGAUUGUGGUGAAGUGGAUGAUCCUAUGCUGUCGAGAAAAUCCUCUAGCGAGUUUCAUGGCGGCCCGUACCCUAAACCGACUCAGGUGGUCAGGUAGAGAAUACCGAGGCGUUCGGGUGAACUAUGGUUAAGGAACUCGGCAAAAUGCCCCCGUAACUUCGGGAGAAGGGGGGCCAUCACUGGUGAAGGCAUUUACUGUCUGAGCUGGGGGUGGCCGUAGAGACCAGCGAGAAGCGACUGUUUACUAAAAACACAGGUCCGUGCGAAGCCGUAAGGCGAUGUAUACGGACUGACGCCUGCCCGGUGCUGGAACGUUAAGGGGACCGGUUAGUCACUCUUCGGGGUGGCGAAGCUGAGAACUUAAGCGCCAGUAAACGGCGGUGGUAACUAUAACCAUCCUAAGGUAGCGAAAUUCCUUGUCGGGUAAGUUCCGACCUGCACGAAUGGCGUAACGACUUCUCGACUGUCUCAACCAUAGGCCCGGUGAAAUUGCACUACGAGUAAAGAUGCUCGUUUCGCGCAGCAGGACGGAAAGACCCCGGGACCUUUACUACAGUUUGAUAUUGGUGUUCGGUUCGGCUUGUGUAGGAUAGCUGGGAGACUGUGAACUCUGGACGCCAGUUCAGGGGGAGUCGUCGUUGAAAUACCAGUCUGGUCGUGCUGGAUGUCUAACCUGGGUCCGUGAUCCGGAUCAGGGACAGUGUCUGAUGGGUAGUUUAACUGGGGCGGUUGCCUCCUAAAGAGUAACGGAGGCGCCCAAAGGUUCCCUCAGCCUGGUUGGCAAUCAGGUGUUGAGUGUAAGUGCACAAGGGAGCUUGACUGUGAGACCGACGGGUCGAGCAGGGACGAAAGUCGGGACUAGUGAUCCGGCGGUGGCUUGUGGAAGCGCCGUCGCUCAACGGAUAAAAGGUACCCCGGGGAUAACAGGCUGAUCUUCCCCAAGAGUCCAUAUCGACGGGAUGGUUUGGCACCUCGAUGUCGGCUCGUCGCAUCCUGGGGCUGGAGUCGGUCCCAAGGGUUGGGCUGUUCGCCCAUUAAAGCGGUACGCGAGCUGGGUUUAGAACGUCGUGAGACAGUUCGGUCCCUAUCCGCUGCGCGCGCAGGAACAUUGAGAAGGGCUGUCCCUAGUACGAGAGGACCGGGACGGACGAACCUCUGGUGUGCCAGUUGUUCUGCCAAGGGCAUGGCUGGUUGGCUACGUUCGGGAGGGAUAACCGCUGAAAGCAUCUAAGCGGGAAGCCUGCUUCGAGAUGAGUGUUCCCACCCCCUUGAGGGGUUAAGGCUCCCAGUAGACGACUGGGUUGAUAGGCCGGAUCUGGAAGGCGGGUAACCGCUGGAGGUGACCGGUACUAAUAGGCCGAGGGCUUGUCCU
RNAcentral lists this ribosomal RNA (1396 nucleotides) under metagenome. Its description in RNAcentral is "bacterial LSU rRNA". It matches the Rfam family "Bacterial large subunit ribosomal RNA", at positions 1551 to 2925 of the family's 2925-position model. The record is from RNAcentral.